GGGGGGGGGGGGGGGGGGGGGGGGGGGGGGGGGGGGGGGGGGGGGGGGGGGGGGGGGUGGGGCGGGGGGGGGGCGAGUGGGGGGGGGGGGAGGAAGACGGGGGGAGCUACUUGGUGGUGGGGGAGGACGGAGGGAGACUUGCGCGAAGACCGCAUACGACGUACGGGUGAAAGCGGGGGAUCUUCGGACCUGGCGCGAUGGGAGGAGCCGAUGUCGGAUUAGCUAGUUGGCGGGGGAAAGGCCCACCAAGGCGACGAUCCGUAGCUGGUCUGAGAGGAUGAUCAGCCACACUGGAACUGAGACACGGUCCAGACUCCUACGGGAGGCAGCAGUGGGGAAUAUUGGACAAUGGGCGCAAGCCUGAUCCAGCCAUACCGCGUGGGUGAAGAAGGCCUUCGGGUUGUAAAGCCCUUUUGUUGGGAAAGAAAAGCAGCAGGUUAAUACCCCGCUGUUCUGACGGUACCCAAAGAAUAAGCACCGGCUAACUUCGUG
RNAcentral lists this ribosomal RNA (492 nucleotides) under uncultured bacterium. RNAcentral's name for it is "partial 16S ribosomal RNA". The stretch from base 62 to 492 matches the Rfam family "Bacterial small subunit ribosomal RNA", at positions 39 to 507 of the family's 1533-position model. The record is from RNAcentral.